GGAUAUGCAGGAAGAUUCUGUGAGACAGAUCACAAUGAGCGUGAUUCCAGUCAUUACCACAAUGGGGCUGUGUGCCAGGACAGAAUCAAUGGCUACUCCUGCUUCUGUGUGCCUUAAUACCAAGGCAGGCAUUGUGACUUGGAAGCAUAUGAAUGUGUUUCUGAUCCCUGCAUGCAUGAGGCUGUAUGCUUUAAGGAGAUAGGAAGAUACACAUGUGUCUGUCCUCAAGAGUAUUCUGGUGUGGACUGUGAGUUGGAAAUUGAUGAAUGUUGAUCACAGCCGAGUUUAUAUGGUGCCAGGAUGCUCAUGGUGUCAGGAUGCUCUUGGGGCUUACUUCUGUGACUGUGCACUUGGAUUCCUUGGAGACCACUGUGAACUCAACUUUGAUGAGUGUGCCAGUCAGCCCUGUCUCCGUGGAGGUCUAUGUGUGGAUGGAGGAAACAACUACUUCUGUGACUGCAUGGGUAGCAUAUUUGUGAGACCUAGACGCCCCUUUGUUGGUCAAAGCCUUCUCACAAUGAUACAACAUGUGAAGGCACUGUUGACAGCUAUAUUUGUCACUGCUGGCCUAGAUACACAGAUUCCCUGUGUGAGACAGACAGAAAUGAAUGCAGUAGGCACCCCUGCAAAUUUAGGGGGAAAUAUGCCAAUCCGUCCUCAAGGGAUAUAUAGGACACAUUGCAGACCUGCCUUCCUCCUUCAACUACAUUGAAGCCCCAGGCUAUAUUUGUAUCUGUCAGCCUGGA
RNAcentral lists this long non-coding RNA (746 nucleotides) under Mus musculus (house mouse). Its description in RNAcentral is "long non-coding RNA chrX:135240153-135240899". Lineage: Eukaryota; Metazoa; Chordata; Mammalia; Rodentia; Muridae. The record is from RNAcentral.